GACGAACGCUGGCGGCGUGCUUAACACAUGCAAGUCGAGCGGUAAGGCCCUUUCGGGGGUACACGAGCGGCGAACGGGUGAGUAACACGUGGGUGACCUGCCCUUAGCUCUGGGAUAAGCCUGGGAAACUGGGUCUAAUACCGGAUAUGACUCCAUGACGCAUGUUGUGGGGUGGAAAGCCUUGUGCGGCUAGGGAUGGGCCUGCGGCCUAUCAGCUUGUUGGUGGGGUGAUGGCCUACCAAGGCGACGACGGGUAGCCGGCCCGAGAGGGCGACCGGCCACACUGGGACUGAGACACGGCCCAGACUCCUACGGGAGGCAGCAGUGGGGAAUCUUGCGCAAUGGGCGAAAGCCUGACGCAGCGACGCCGCGUGGGGAUGACGGCCUCGGUGUAAC
Molecule: ribosomal RNA, 396 nt
Filed under: uncultured bacterium
Lineage: Bacteria
Description: bacterial SSU rRNA
Rfam family: Bacterial small subunit ribosomal RNA
Source: RNAcentral